AGAAACCCUGGAAGUAAAAAAGGGCAAUCCUGAGCCAAAUCCUGUUUUCCGAAAACAAACAAAGUUUGCGAAAGCGAGAAUAAAAAAAAGGAUAGGUGCAGAGACUCAACGGAAGCUAUUCUAAAGUUUACAAAUAGAGUUGACUGCGUUGCGUUAGUAAAAAAAUCCUUUCCUAAAAAUUCCAGAAAGGAUAAACUUAUAUACAUACGUAUACGUACUGAAAGACUAUCUCAAAUGAUUAAUGAUGACCUAAAUCUGUAUUAUUUAUCAAAAAAAUCAAAGAUUUGUUGUGAAUCGAUUCCAAAUUGAAGAAGGAAUCAAAUGAUAAUUGAUCAAAUCAUUCACUCCAGUGUCAGAUAGAUCUUUUGAAAACCCGAUAGAAUAAAGAUAGAGUCCCAUUCUACAUGUCAAUAUUGACAACAAUGAAAUUUAUAGUAAAAGGAAAAUCCGUCGACUUUAGAAAUCGUGAGGGUUCAAGUCCCUCUAUCCCCAAAAAGGACCCUUUGACUCCCUAAUUUUUUUCUCUCUUUUCAUUAACGAUUCAAAAUUAUUUAUCUUUCUCAUUCAUUCGACUCUUUCACAAACACCAGGAUCCAAGUGUAAAAUUUUUGUCUUACUCUUACCACAAGCUUUGUGAUACAUAUAAUACACAUACAAAUGAAUAUCCUUGAGCGAGGAAUCCCCAUUUGAAUGAUUUACAAUCCAUAUAAUUACGCGUACUGAAACCUACACUUUGAAGAUAAAAAAGAUGGGUAAAGCUUUGUAAUACUUUUUUUUUUGGCAUCUUUCUAAUUGACAUAGACCUAAGUCAUCUAAUAUCAUGAGGAUGAUAGCUUCGGGAAAUGGUCGGGAUAGCUUCAGCCUUGAAC
This 869-nucleotide unclassified non-coding RNA is filed under the name Oxalis dillenii. Its description in RNAcentral is "contains 16S-23S intergenic spacer region". The stretch from base 1 to 417 matches the Rfam family "Group I catalytic intron", at positions 64 to 253 of the family's 253-position model. Lineage: Eukaryota; Viridiplantae; Streptophyta; Magnoliopsida; Oxalidales; Oxalidaceae. The record is from RNAcentral.